GUAAAGCAGAAGAAAGGAUGGAGUUAGUACAAAGUCCUCCAAAGCUUUUAAAUCAACACCGAGGACAAAACAUUCGCAUCUCUAAUGGUGUGCGAGUACCUAUUCCUUGGGACA
RNAcentral lists this small nucleolar RNA (114 nucleotides) under Encephalitozoon cuniculi GB-M1. Its description in RNAcentral is "ACA27 H/ACA snoRNA". The record is from RNAcentral. Lineage: Eukaryota; Fungi; Microsporidia; Unikaryonidae.